UUGAGUAAAGGUGAAUUUUAUUGCAGCGACAGCCACAUGAAAAGGCCAUCAAAAGACACAUUUCCAACCAAACACUUAUCUAUUCAGACUAGCAGUUCUGAAAUUAAAACAAUAAAUACAUUUUUACCCCUUCAUACAUUUGGUUUCUCAGCUUGUGGAUGGUAACUGCUAUGUGCGAGGCUCCUAAGGAAGAUAUUUGCACAGUACCAAUAGAACUAGCAGGUAGCUGAAGUAUUGGUGUACUGGGUGAAGCCAAGGUAUAAGCCAAAUGAAGCACCGGUGGUUAAGCUGCCUUCAAAGCCACUUAGGACAAACUAAGGAGAGUUUUUAACUAUUCCUCCACAAUUUCAGGGUAUAUAAUCUGUUAUCAAAGCAAAAGGAUGGAGGGUGAUAGCCAAAGGAAGAUUUAAAUUUAGAAAAUAAACUAACCACAUAUUCUCUCAAUUAUAGUUUGGCAAAGGAAGGUCACAAAAGAAAAAAGGGAUUCUACUCUUCCAGGUAUCACUUCUAACAUGGGUUCCCUUUGGCCAUCCUGACCCCUAAAUCCAACUGGCUGCAUCUACUCUACAGCCCGACAAGCUCUGGUCUUCCAGUCUUUCAACUUUUGCUUGCACAGAUGAGUCUCCUUCUGGGUAAAGGGAACAGGAAAGGCGUAUAACCCAUCUUUAAGUCAGCAUAGGCACUUAAAAAAAUCAGCCACGCUGCACAUGCAGGCCUGGGAACUCUGAAUCACUCCCAUUUUGGGGUCUCAAUUAAUAGAUAGUCUGCAUAGUGACAGUAGAGUCUGUUUUGGUUUUUUUCUAAUUAUACUCUCCAUAGGCUUGGGCUGAAGGCAGGCUGACAGAGGGGUAAAUUGGUCCUAAGCUUCUAAACUCUUUGGGCAAGGGUUACAUUUCCUGGGAAACAUCCUAACAAAUAUGGCACUGUAAAGAAAACAAUCAAUCAAAAGAACCAGAAAGCAUAUUCAGCACAGUGCUCUUCCAAAGGAGAGCACCACAGUAUAUCAAGAAGCAGCAUUACUGGUUAAAUCUUCAAAUUGCUUUUUGAAAGCAGAUCACAGCUACAGUGCUGUACAUUACAAAUGCAAAUAUAUGACAUAUAAAAAGUUUUCUAUGCAAAAUAAUCCUGCUUCCAGUCCACAUUUUUCUAUGCCAUUUACUGCAAGUGUAUAUUAAACUUUGAUACAUUUGCUUACAGACAGCUUAUUGCCACAAAGGUAAGUUCUGGCAAUCUUAGCAACAGAACACAGUUUAGUAGCAGUUAUUAAAAUACUUUUACAGUAAUUAAGAUCUUAAUCUUCCAUUAUAAGGAAAAAAAAAAUAGUGAUGCAAGUUGUCCACUACAUUCAGAAGUACGAUACUUGAGUUUUACUAAAAACCAGUGAGCAUGCAACUCAGACUUGAAAGAAGUCAAUAAGGAACUGGUAUUUAAUACAGCCAGGUAUAUAUGUCACUUGCAUACAUUUAUUCACAGCUUAACAACAUUAAAUAAUCUAUAGUUCUGAAAUAUGUGCAUUUUAAAAGGAAUUUGUCACAGCUCUUCAGUGAUAGCCAAGCAGACAUCAUGCAGAAGAGACUAAAUCAGGUCAGCUGCAAACUGCAUUUGAAUUAAGACAAAGUUGUACCCUUCCACUCUUGUGCUUCCAUUGUUAAAAUCACAGCAGGAGAAUGACUUGCGCUUAUUUUUAUGCAUGUUUCAAGUCUCUCCUGUUGCCCUGUUUUCGCAUUGAGUGAUGUUAACCAAAUUCAGCUGUGAAUAAGUACUUAGAAUUCAGCAUCCCAGACCAAGAGCAAAUUGUGAAUGUUGAAGAUAUGGUAAUUAUUUCAAAAGUAUAAACUUAGCCUCAUGUUUGCUAUCUACGUUUCCAUGCUACAGACACCCAAGAAUCUUAUCCCCUCUCUACUAUUUAUCUGUUUUGUGAUCUGAAAGUCCACAGAAAAUGUUUUCACCAGUAGCACAAACCAUAACGACUCUGGUUAAAACACACACUGGAGGGGGGAAGAGAAGGAAAACCAAAGAAACAUACAACACCCCGCACCCCCCCCCAAAAAAAAAAAAACAAACAAAAAAUAUUGCUUAAGACUGUGGAAAGGAAUUAAAAUAUCUAAAUAAGGCCUGUUGGCUUUGAUGACUGUGUACUGAAAUAUAUACAAGCAAAAACUUAAACCAAAAGCACAGUUACUGCAAUUUAUUUGCAACAUGUGCUGCCUUUCUGCUGUUCUUAUGUCCAGAUUAAUCUCAGUCCCGAAUAAGGCAAUAUUAAAGGAAUGAGCAUCAUUUCCUCAGGGCCUCAACUAAGAUAAAUAGAAAAGGAAGAAUACUGUUUAGUAUCGGUAGGUAUACCAGGGAGUGAUUUUGUGUAAAACAGCACAGAGAGCAUGAAAAUUUGAGUGAAAAAGAUAGAAAGACUCUGGGUUGAAAGGUAAACAGGGUUUAAAAACAUUUGUCUGCAUUUUAAUAACUUACAAAUAAAUUAAGAUGAUGAAAGGCAGCAUGGACUAUAUAAAGGGGAAAAGAAGACUGAAGCUAAAAAAGAAAAAAAAGCUGCUGCGUUGGUAAUAAAAGUAGCAAUUCUAUGGCAGAGAUUUCUUUUUCUUGAAGAGAACCAAAACAUUCUGUUGAAUAACCUGGAACAGAGAUUAUCUCAUCUGUGCAGAUUUGUGCAAAUGAUGUGUGCAAACACAGAGAAGUGAGAGAAGGGUAUAACAUCUUCCA
Molecule: long non-coding RNA, 2715 nt
Organism: Strigops habroptila (Kakapo)
Lineage: Eukaryota; Metazoa; Chordata; Aves; Psittaciformes; Psittacidae
Source: Ensembl